This 461-nucleotide ribosomal RNA is filed under the name uncultured soil bacterium. Its description in RNAcentral is "bacterial SSU rRNA". It matches the Rfam family "Bacterial small subunit ribosomal RNA", at positions 26 to 518 of the family's 1533-position model. The record is from RNAcentral.
AGAGCGAACGCUGGCGGCAGGCCUAACACAUGCAAGUCGAACGGACUCUUCGGAGUUAGUGGCGGACGGGUGAGUAACACGUGGGAACGUGCCUUUAGGUUCGGAAUAGCUCCUGGAAACGGGUGGUAAUACCGAGUGUGCCCUUCGGGGGAAAGAUUUAUCGCCUUUAGAGCGGCCCGCGUCUGAUUAGCUUGUUGGUGAGGUAAUGGCUCACCAAGGCUACGAUCAGUAGCUGGUCUGAGAGGAUGACCAGCCACAUUGGGACUGAGACACGGCCCAAACUCCUACGGGAGGCAGCAGUGGGAAUCUUGCGCAAUGGGACGAAAGCCUGACCGCAGCCAUGCCGCGUGUAUGAUGAAGGUCUUAAGGAUUAGUAAAAUUACUUUCGAACCGGUUGAAGAUAAUGAACUGUAGCCGGAAGAACGAACGCCCCGGACUAACUUCGCGACCAGCCAGCCGAC